CCCCGGUAAACGGCGGCCGUAACUAUAACGGUCCUAAGGUAGCGAAAUUCCUUGUCGGGUAAGUUCCGACCUGCACGAAUGGCGUAAUGAUGGCCAGGCUGUCUCCACCCGAGACUCAGUGAAAUUGAACUCGCUGUGAAGAUGCAGUGUACCCGCGGCAAGACGGAAAGACCCCGUGAACCUUUACUAUAGCUUGACACUGAACAUUGAGCCUUGAUGUGUAGGAUAGGUGGGAGGCUUUGAAGUGUGGACGCCAGUCUGCAUGGAGCCGACCUUGAAAUACCACCCUUUAAUGUUUGAUGUUCUAACGUGGACCCGUAAUCCGGGUUGCGGACAGUGUCUGGUGGGUAGUUUGACUGGGGCGGUCUCCUCCUAAAGAGUAACGGAGGAGCACGAAGGUUGGCUAAUCCUGGUCGGACAUCAGGAGGUUAGUGCAAUGGCAUAAGCCAGCUUGACUGCGAGCGUGACGGCGCGAGCAGGUGCGAAAGCAGGUCAUAGUGAUCCGGUGGUUCUGAAUGGAAGGGCCAUCGCUCAACGGAUAAAAGGUACUCCGGGGAUAACAGGCUGAUACCGCCCAAGAGUUCAUAUCGACGGCGGUGUUUGGCACCUCGAUGUCGGCUCAUCACAUCCUGGGGCUGAAGUAGGUCCCAAGGGUAUGGCUGUUCGCCAUUUAAAGUGGUACGCGAGCUGGGUUUAGAACGUCGUGAGACAGUUCGGUCCCUA
This 723-nucleotide ribosomal RNA is filed under the name Salmonella enterica. RNAcentral's name for it is "partial 23S ribosomal RNA". It matches the Rfam family "Bacterial large subunit ribosomal RNA", at positions 1918 to 2640 of the family's 2925-position model. The record is from RNAcentral. RNAcentral also lists the same sequence under 1 other name. Lineage: Bacteria; Pseudomonadati; Pseudomonadota; Gammaproteobacteria; Enterobacterales; Enterobacteriaceae.